This is a long non-coding RNA of Pygocentrus nattereri (red-bellied piranha), 595 nucleotides long. The record is from Ensembl. NCBI's taxonomy places the organism in Eukaryota, Metazoa, Chordata, Actinopteri, Characiformes, Serrasalmidae.
AACCACCGCUCAGGGACGAUGAUGCCUCUCACACCAACAGCACUGCAGAUAAUCAGGAGUCUGAGGAAGAUCCAAAGUGACUCUAAUGACAUAGAAAACACUGUUAGAACCAUCAGAGACCUCAGCCUGCACAAGUCUGCACAUAGAGCCACACAACGCUCUACUGUUUACUACCAACCACUUCAGGUCACAUAUUGUAUACAGGCCAGUCAUACCUCCACACUCAGGUUUGUUUACAAUAAAAGUACUUUAGUGUGUGUUUUACAUUAUAUUGUUUUCCCUGUGUAACAUUCCCUUCAGGCUCCUGAUCAUUCCAGCAUACCGAUGGAGAUACAGUAGUGAUUGUUGAUUGUCUAUUCGCUCUGUAUUUUCUCUGCCAGUUUUUUCUACUUUUUCUGAUGAAUUUUGGGCUUAAAGUCUUAAUAGCAUUUGAAUUUAUAACGUGGACUCUUUUUAUAUUCUUAUAAUGUAUUGCAUGCAUUGAGAGUGCGGUGGUGGGGCCACAGGGGGGGGUUUGUAAUUGUGACUACAAUAAAGAAACGCUUUGUCUUUGUACUCAUCACAUUGAGAAAUGACUAAGUUUUCAUUAUUUUCC